This 20-nucleotide non-coding RNA is filed under the name Arabidopsis thaliana (thale cress). The record is from RNAcentral. Lineage: Eukaryota; Viridiplantae; Streptophyta; Magnoliopsida; Brassicales; Brassicaceae.
GGGGUGGUGGCGCAGUUGGC